Molecule: long non-coding RNA, 922 nt
Organism: Gadus macrocephalus (Pacific cod)
Lineage: Eukaryota; Metazoa; Chordata; Actinopteri; Gadiformes; Gadidae
Exons: 2
Source: RefSeq, a predicted model, not a curated record
GUGUACGUGUGUGUGUGUGCACUUGCGGGUGUGUGUGCACUUGCGGGUGCGCAUGCGCGUUCGUGUUCACAUGAACACGGUGACAGACUGACAGUGUCCCGGGCUCUUCUCCGCGUGGCCAACGCCUUUUUUUCCGUUUGAUGUACCAGCCCAGAUGGCACCUGUCGGGAGGGGGUGGUGGGGGAGCAGAUGUGACCCCCCUGACACAUCUUCGGGGGGACAGGACGCAGUCACCCGUUCGAGGAAGGAUUUGCCAACGGUAAGAGGGCGGGUCUUAUACCACCCCCCACCGCCAUUCAACUGGUUGAUUUCCUGCAUCCCCUCCAUUGUGGGUCUUUAAUGGGUUAUUUGUCCCAGGAGGAGGGCUGACAUCACAGGAUGAGUCAGCCUCACCGUGCCCUCGGCAGGGGGUCCGGGCUCAUAGACAGAGAGCUGAGGGGGGGGGGGGGGGUUGUGCGAGAUGGGUAGAGGGAAAAGUUCAAGAAAAAAACAUGCAAAAGAAGCAAAGAGACACAGCAAGAGAGAAGAGGUGGGGAAAGAGCGGGGAGGUUGGAUGCGAAGGUGAUUCAACCGGAAGGCACCUGGCCAAGUCUGUGUUGUCCCACCUGCUGGGUGCUGAUAGGGGACCAGGGCAGAUAAAGAGAGGGCAGGACGGAGCAGUUGCAGUAUUGCUCCAACAGUUAAAAACGCCCCUCAUGAAAUACAGCCAUCCUUUCUGUUUCAUCGUUUUUAUGGUUUAUCUUAAAAUGCAUUUAUAUUUGUAUGGAUUUUCCUUCCUCUGUGCUAUACCUUAUAAAAGAUUAUUGACAGCAUUGUAAGGCUAAGAAAGUAAAGAGUGUUGCUUCUUUAUUAUCAAGUAUGCUUCAACCCAGAUUGACUCUAACCUUCACAAAAUAGUGGGAUUAAAUAUUUAAUCACCCUA